CAGGACACAUGAACAUCGACAUUUUGAACGCAUAUUGCGGUCCAUACUGACUAGUUUCUUAACCGAAGCUGUAUGGACCACACAUGGUUGAGGGUCGUUAGUUUAUGCUAACUGAAUUGCUUUUUUUUAAUUAAAAGAGCUACAUCCUGAGGUGUUGUCAUCCUUAAGUGUGUUGACAUCCCUUGAAAAUAUCAGACCUUGUGUCUGGUACACAAUUGAAAUAUAUGUUUUGAUUGUGUUGCAAAUGCUUGUUCUAAUCAAAGGAAACAAUAAUUACCAUAUCUAAUAUGUUUUUAUAUGUCAUACCUUGAGGUGUAGUAAACUUUGAUUAAGCGUUUAAACCUGAGGGUUUGCGCAUUUUUAUUGUUGAACCACUUCAUACGUAUAACGGCUAUAAAUAUUAUAUUAUGUUUUUUAAUUAUAUAAGAGUACUUUGUUGCGGAAUGUUCCCAUACACUUUGAAAGCGGGUGGCAUUUGUAUACAUUUAAUCGAAAGUUUUCGUAUAUUUCAAUUUGAUUUCAAACAAAAGCGACCUCAA
This 539-nucleotide ribosomal RNA is filed under the name Metanepsia sp. DK-2013. RNAcentral describes it as "eukaryotic LSU rRNA". RNAcentral also lists the same sequence under 1 other name. Lineage: Eukaryota; Metazoa; Arthropoda; Insecta; Diptera; Mycetophilidae. The record is from RNAcentral.